CGGGCGUUGUCCUUGACUGGCGAGAGUGUGGGGGCGCUGGUCUCUGGCCCUGGUGGCGCCACUACUGUCUUCGGAAAGAUUAUCGGGAGUAAAGUAGCAGGAGUGACGUGAACCGACGAUGAGUGAAUUUUACGAGCGGCGAGGAGAGUGCGACGAUAGCCCAGGCAGGGCCGGUGUCGGUGCCGAACGAUCGUGUGUGUCGCUUCUGUCCCGAGCACCCAUCUUGAUGGAAUGGAGCCCAAGUCACGGCCUGUUUUUAAACAUCCGGAAGGGUGGAGGAAACCCAUGGAAUGGGAAACUAAUGUCUAUCUUUGAAAGGAAGUGGGACGGUAGUUAAUGAAAAUGUAUACGUGUGUUGGGCAUAAAGAUGGUUUAAGCAUGGAGUUUAAGUUGUAAGCGUUGGUAAGAAGGGAUUUCAGUCAUGACAAAUAAAUACAACGGAAUAAUUAGAAGACA
Agelaius phoeniceus (red-winged blackbird) is the source of this 456-nucleotide non-coding RNA. NCBI's taxonomy places the organism in Eukaryota, Metazoa, Chordata, Aves, Passeriformes, Icteridae. The record is from RefSeq and is a predicted model, not a curated record.